UCCACACCUAAUGAGCAAGGGAAGAAAGAGAACUGUCAGUGAAUGUGGAACAAUUUUAGGUUCACUUGUAUACCCAGACCCUGCAAGCUACAUGUAUAUUUAGGUCUGUCGUGUAGAUUAAAGAUCUAGCUAGCUCCAGGCUCCAAGAGACUUUAGUUUUAGCUAGAAAAACAAUAUAGAUGAUUAGCAAAGACUUUUAUUAAAGAGAGCACACAUUCCCCCUAAUACUCUGCUUGUAUAUAAGAACGUUCUUGGUUGUGUAAACGCAAAGCCAGGCCAGGAAUCAGGUUUCAGCCAACAGAAAGCCUGCAGAGUUGCCCGCGGGCUGCUGAAGCAGUGCUUCGCUCACACGUGCACGUCAGAUGGCUGCUGGGGAGCCGGCCACCCCCAAGCCUCUUGGGCAGGACACAUCCGUGUGUGUCUAUCCUGCAUCGGCUGCCAGAUCACCAAGUGGUGCCCCUUUGCCUAAACCCUUCCUUGGACUUACUUUCAAAUUCCUGUACCACUGGGUUUCGGUUGCUGGAUUUGAGAUUCACAGCCCCUAUCAAGCAGCCUGAGGGAAAAAAGAAAAGUAAAAUCAGAGACAACGCGACACUAAAAGAGCAGAGAACCCGCACUUGACAUCAGACUCUCCCUUCAUGGCGGCUACAGUCACGAACCACAGAGGAUGUCAAAUGUCAUGUUCCAAAACAAAGUCUCUUAGAUACAGCAGGGUGACUGCUUUCUGAGUCUGACCUUCAUUGGAAGGAACCCAGGAGAAAGAGAAUUCUCAGAGUGCACUUUCCUUCUUAGUCCCAGAACGAAGCCCCUAGAACUUUCAAGACCUUCCUCUAAGAAUGUACUUUUAAAAAAAGGAUUGUAAGAGAGAGCUACACAACAACAGACUGGACAACCCAGAAGAAAUGGACAAAUUCUUAAAAUCAUACAACUUUCUAAGACUGAAUCAUGAAGAAAGAAAAUCUAAAUAGAUCACUAGUAAGGAGACUGAAACAGUAAUCAAAAGCUCCCCCCAAACAAAAGUCCAGGACCAGUCAGCUUCACUGGUAAAUCCUACCAAACAUUCAAAGAUUUGAUACCUGUCCUUCUCAAACUAUCCCCCAAAAUUGAAGAGGACAGAACACUUCCUAACUCAUUUUUCAAGGCCAACAUUACCCUGAUACCAAAACCAGACAAAGAUAACACACAAAAAGAAAAUUAUCUCUGAUGAACAUAGAUGCAAAAAUUCUCAACAAAAUAUUAGCAAACUGAAUACAACAAUACAUUAAAAAGAUCGUACACCAUGAACAAGUGCGACUUAUCCCAGGGAUGCAAGGAUGGUUCAACAUCCACAAAUCAAUGAACAUGAUACACCACAUUAACAAAAUGAAGGAUAAAAACCAUAUGAGCAUCUCAGAUGCAGAAAGAACAUUUCACAAGGUUCAACACCUAUUUAUGACAAAACUCUCAAAAAAAUGGGUAUAGAAGGAAGCUCAACAUAAUAAAGGCCACAAAUGACAAACCCACAGCUAACAUCACACUCUACAGCAAGGGUCCCCAACCUCCGGGCCGCGGACCGGUAGGCCUGUUAGGAACCAGGCCACAUAGCAUGAGGUAAACGGCGGGCAAGCGACCGAAGCUUCAUCUUCCACUCCCUAUCGCUCACGUUACCGCCUGACUGCCACUCACAUUACUGCCUAAACCAUCCCCCCACCCCCAGUCUGAGGAAAAACUGUCUUCCAUGAAACCAGUCCCUGGUGCCAAAAAGGUUGGGGACCACUGCUCUACAGUGAAAAACUAAAAGCUUUCUUUUACAAUUGGGAACAAGGUAAGGAUGCCCACUCUCACCACUCCUAUUCAACACAGGAAGUCCUAGCCAGAGCAAUUAGCCAUUAAAAGAAAAUUAAAACAUCCGGGGACUUCCCUGGUGGCCCAGUGGUUAAGAAUCCGCCUGCCAAUGCAGGGGAAACAGGUUUGAUCCCUGGUCCGGGAAGAUCCACAUACCAUGGAGCAUCUAAGCCCAUGCGCCACAACUACCAAGCCUGCACUCUAGAGCCCACGAGUCACAACUACAGAGCCCAUGCGCCGCAAGUGCUGGAGCCCACGUGCUCUAGGGCCUGUGCUCUGCAACAGGAGAAGCCACUGCGAUGAGAAGCCCGAGCACCACAAAGAGUAGCCCCCACUCGCCGCAACUAGAGAAAGACCGUGUGCAGCAACGAAGACCCAACACAGCCAAAAAAUAAAUUUAAAAAAAAAGAAAAAAAAUUAGGGGCUUCCCUGGUGGCACAGUGGUUGAGAGUCCACCUGCCAAUGCAGGGGACAUGGGUGCGUGCCCCGGUCCGGGAAGAUCCCAGAUGCUGCGGAGCGGCUGGGCCCGUGAGCCAUGGCCGCUGAGCCUGCGUGUCCGGAGCCUGUGCUCCUCAACGGGAGAAGCCAUGACAGUGAGAGGCCUGCGUACAGCAAAAAAAAAAAAAAAGAAAAAAAAUUAAUAAAAUAAAUAAAAACAUCCAAAUUGGAAAGGAAGAAGUGAAAUUAUCACUAUUUGUAUAUGACAUGAUUUUAUAUACAGAAAAUCCUAAAGACUCCACCAAAAAACUAUUAGAUAUAAUAAAUGAAUUCAGUAAAGUUGAAGGGUACAAAAUCAACAUACAGAAAUCUGUUCUAUUUCUAAAAAUUAACAACAAGCUAGCAGAAAGAGAAAUUAAGAAAACAAUCCCAUUUACAACUGCAACAAAAAGAAUAAAAUAACCUAAGAAUAAAUUUUUCCAAGGAGGUGAAAGACCUGUACACAGAAAACUAUAAGACAUUGUUCAAAGAAACUGAAGAAGACACAAAGAAACGGAAAGACAUUCUGUGCUCAUGGACUGAAAGAAUUAACACUGUUAAAAUGUCCAUAUUACCUAAAGCAACCACAGAUUCAAUGCAAUCCCUAUCAACAUCCCAAGGGCAUUUUUAUUUUUCACAGAAAUAGAACAAAAAAUUCUAAAAUUCAUAUACAACCACAAAAGACCCUGAAUAACCAAAGCAAUCCUGAGAAAAAAAGAACAAAGCUGGAGAUAUCACACGCCCUGAUUUCAAACUACAUUAUAAAGCUUUAGAACUCAAAACAGCAUGAUAUUGGCAGAAAAACAGAUAUAGCUCAAUGGAACAGAAUUGAAAGUCCAGAAAUAAACCCACACAUAUAUGGACAAUUAAUUUAUGACAAAGGAGCAAACAGCAUACAAUGGAGAAAGGAUAGUCUUCAAUAAAUGGUGUUGGGAAAACUGCACAGCCACAUGCAAAAAAAAAAAUUGAAACUAGAUGACUAUCAUAUGCCAUAUACAAAAAUCAACCCCAAAGAGAUUAAAGAUUGAAUGUAACCCAUGAAACCAUAAAACUCUAAAAGAAAACACAGGCAGUACGCCUUUGACAUCAGUCUUAGCAAUAUCUUUCUAGAUAUGCCUCCUCAGCAAGGGAAACAAAAGCAAAAAUAAACAAAUGGGACCACAUCAAACUAAAAACCUUUUGCACAGCAAAGAAAACAACAAAAUGAAAACACAAGCUACCAAAUAGGAGAAGAUACUUGCAAAUCAUAUAUCCAAUAAGGCAUUAAUGCUCAAAAUAUAUAAAGAACGAUAAAAAAACCCAAUAACCUGAUUAAAAAAUGGGCAGAGGAACUGAACAUACAUUCUUCCAAAGAAGACAUACAGAUGGCCAACAGACAUGAAAAGAUGUUCAACGUCACUAAUUAUCAAGGAAACGCAAAUCAAAACCACAAUGAGAUAUCACAUUAUAUCUGUCAGAAUUGGCUGUUAUCAAAAAGGCAAGAAAUAACAAGUGUUGCCAAGGAUGUGGAGAAAAGGAAACCACGGUGCACAUGGAUAAUGUAAAUUGGUGCAGCCACUGUGGAAAACAGUAUGGAGAUCCUCAAAAAACUAACACUAGGGAGCUUCCCUGGUGGCGCAGUGGUUGAGAGUCCACCUGCCGAUGCAGGGGACACGGGUUCGUGCCCCGGUCCGGGAAGAUCCCACAUGCCGCGGAGCGGCUGGGCCCGUGAGCCAUGGCCACUGAGCCUGCGCAUCCGGAGCCUGUGCUCCACAGCAGGACAGGCCACAACAGUGAGAGGCCCAUGUACCGCAAAAAACAAACAAAAAACUAACACUAGAACUACCAUAUGACUGAGCAAUUCCACUCCUGGGUAUUUAUCAGAAGAAAAAAACACUAAUUAUAAAAGAUAUAUGCACCCCUAUGUUCAUUGCAGCAUUAUUUAUAGUAGCCAAGAUAUGGAAGCAACCUAAGUGGCCAUCAAUGGAAAAAUGGAUAAAGAUGUGGCAUGUGUGAUGUAUAUAUAUGUGUGUGGGAUGGAAUAUUACUCAGCCAUAAAAAAGGAUGGAAUCUUGCCAUUUGCAAAAACAUGGAUGAACCUUGAGGAUAUUAUGCUAAGUGAAAUAUCAGGUGAAGAAAGACAAAUACCAUAUGAUUUCACUCAUACAUGAAAUAUUAAAAAACAAACAAAAUGACAAAAUAAAUGAACCAAACCAAACUAUAACAAACAUGUAGAUACAGAGAACAGAGUAAUGGUUACCAGAGGGGGUGGGGAUGGGUAAAGGGGGUCAAUAUGGUGAUGCGUGGAAAGUAAACUCUUGGUGGUAAGCUGCUGUAGUGGAUACAGAAGUAGAAGUAUCAUGUUGUGCACAAGAAGCUUAUAUAAUGUUAUAAAAUCAAUGUUACCUCAAUAAAAAAAAAUUUUUUUAAGAAUUUUCUUUUCAUCAUCUCCCAGACCUACAUGGGCCUUCUUGUCAUUCCUCCCUCCUGCCUGGUACCUUCCCCUGCAUGAUGGCAUGGACAUUCUGGGUACAGUUACCAACCAGGAAUCCAUUAUUAAAUCUUGGACUUAGAAGGAAUCUAAGACAUGUGUAGUUGUCUGUUUCUAUUCAAAUCCUCCGAAAGAAAUUUAAGACUGUCCUCUGGAGGCAGGUGUGCCAAGCAGCGCUCCGCACCGGGGAUGCACCACACUGUGUUUAACCACUCACCCACGGAAAGGCGUCUGGGUUGUUUCCAGUUUGGGGCUAUGAUGAAUAAAACUGCUGUGACAUUUGUGCACAGACUUUCGUAUGAACAUAACUUUCCUUUUCUCUGGGACAGAUGCCCAAGAGCACAAACCCUCGUCGUAUGUUGUGGCAUGGUUAGUUUUUUAAAGAAACUAAUAACUGUUUUCCAGAGUUGGGCUGGACCAAAAAUUCACUGUAGGAAAGUUUUCUUUCUAAACUUUGGUUUUUAAACUUAGCAGGGUACACCGGACCACUCUGUACUACCUUUGCAACUUCCUGUGAAUCUAUAAUUAUUUCAACAUUAAAUCGUAGAACACUUCUCUAUUUCUAAAAUGAUGAUAGUGAAAUCAGUAUGGCAUUUGGAAUCGGUUGGGUAUGCAAAAAACUGAAGUAACAGUUUUAAAGCAUUGAUAUUCACAAUACACCAGAAAUCAUAUAUAUACUUAACAACUAUUUAAACUUAGAUAAAAAUUUUUAUGUAAGGUCUCCUGAAUUCUUUCAGUGAAUACAUCAGUUAAAAAAUCAACCGGCAUGGGGCUUCCCUGGUGGUCCAGUAGUUAAGAAUCCGCCUUCCAAUGCAGGGGAUGCGGGUUUGAUCCCUGGUCAGGGAGCUAAGAUCCCGAAUGCCGCAGGGCAACUAAGCCUGCACACCACGACUACUGAGCUCGCGCACCUCACGCGCCACAACUAGAGAGAAGCCCACACGCCGCAACAAAGAGCCUGUGUGCCACAACUAAGACCUGACGCAGCCAAAUAAAUAAAUGUUUUUUAAAAAUUAAAAUCAACUGGCAUAACCGUAUUCAUG
This is a long non-coding RNA of Orcinus orca (killer whale), 5811 nucleotides long. RefSeq lists it as uncharacterized. The transcript is spliced from 3 exons. The record is from RefSeq and is a predicted model, not a curated record. NCBI's taxonomy places the organism in Eukaryota, Metazoa, Chordata, Mammalia, Artiodactyla, Delphinidae.